Vicia faba (fava bean) is the source of this 207-nucleotide non-coding RNA. The record is from the annotation of a GenBank genome assembly. NCBI's taxonomy places the organism in Eukaryota, Viridiplantae, Streptophyta, Magnoliopsida, Fabales, Fabaceae.
AUGAAAUUAACGGUACACAUCCUAAAAGGCAGCACCGUUCUUGAAUCUGUUAGGAUGUGUACUGUUAAUUUCAUUUUUUUACAAGUAUACAAGUGUAAAAUGAUCCUUCUUCAGAACCAUGCAAAAGAGUACCCUGAGCCCAGUGUAAUGGGUUUCUUCCGGUAUAAAGAUCAACUGGGGAUCUCAGUCGAACAAGAAGAAGUUUAA